RNAcentral lists this unclassified non-coding RNA (919 nucleotides) under Hevea brasiliensis (rubber tree). Lineage: Eukaryota; Viridiplantae; Streptophyta; Magnoliopsida; Malpighiales; Euphorbiaceae. The record is from RNAcentral.
GUUUGUGGGAAGAGCCCAAAAGAAAGCUGAGAGAAUAAAGAUAUUACAACAUGCAGACAAGGAUAUUUUCAACAACCAUAUUGAGAAGUUGAAGUUAUCAAAUGUGUAUGUGAAGAAUCUUGAUGUACGCAUUGAUGACAACAAAUUACGAGAAAUAUUCAGUGCCUGUGGAAAGAUAGUUUCAGCAAAAGUGAUGCGGUAUGAUAAUGGAGUAAGUAGAAAAUUUGGAUUUGUGUGUUUCUCAAGUCCUGAAGAAGCAAAGAAAGCUCUGAACACUCUGAAUGGAAUCAUGUUUGGGAGGAAGUCUCUCUAUGUGGCAAUAGCUCGGUGUAGAAGAGAUCGCCACCCGGAACAGGGGAAGUAUUUUGCUGCACGCCAGUCUCAGUCAUUGUAUCCUUCUAACUGCAAUGUUAUUGCACCUCCAAUUGGCCCACCAUAUUACAAUUUGCCUACUUUCCAUCCACCAAUCUCUUUCCGACAGCAUCCUAUCUCAUACCAGAAUUUUGGUGCAAAUAUGGGUGUCCAGUGUCCACUAGGAGUGGAGAAUUACCAGCAACAGUUUUACUCAUAUUUUCCUUUGGGACAAACACACCAACAACUCAGAACCCCUCUGCCCAGUUCUGACAACCGCAUUCUGUAAAUCAUGCUAUCUCAAAUCUUUGUGAUCAAAAUCUGAACUAUGGAUAUUCUGGGAUUCAAAAAUUUUGGCUCUACCAAAAGGCGGAACAAGAAAGGUGGAGCUACUCGAGCUACUAGAGUUGGUGGCUUUUCCAGUUUCUAACAUUCUCAAUGCUAAAUGUAUUUCUUUUCUUUUAAAAAAAAGAAAUGUUCUCUUGUUGCUCGGUAAAUCUUUACUAGGAAAGACCAUCAUCAGUUUUGUCAUAUAGAACAUGGGAUUUUAUGACAAUGCCUUUUGCCC